GAUCAUCGAGUAAUGGCCGUGAGAUAUGCAAGAUUCGUCACUGCAUGCGAUGAAUACUCGACGAUUAGAGGAAUUUAAGGGAGAUUUCCAUUUGAUUGAAUUAACUUACACCCAUUAUAAACAUCAUGUUGUUACAAUUUAUAUUUUUGCUUCAAAUAGGUCAAAUUGAAACAUGAACGUACUCAAAUAUGACCUGUCAAUCGUGUCUGGUUGUCUGGUAUGCACCACAGACUCUAAUGCAGAAAAAGCCUAAUUCAUAGACAAGAAAAUGUGGUCAAACUGGUCAAUCAAACUUUGAGAGAGCAGCUUUAACAGAGACUAUAUAUGAUAUAUUUUGUUUCUGAGCCAAUGGUGUCGCAUAGGUGAAAUGGUGAUCAUUCAAUGUACAAUGGAAGGAGUGGUGGGUCCACACUGUCCAAAAGUCAUCCCAUGGUGGACACAAUAUCCUGCAGCUUAUUGAAGACCCAGCCAAGUCCGUGACCCAGCCAAUACGAUGGAGUUCUUUAAGAAAUUGUUGAAGCCAAUACCAGGACUGACCAAGUACCACCAUUUUUGGAUCACGCGUAGACAUCCAGGGACAGAGUUUGUGCGGGGAUAUUUGACAAUCCAGAUGUUGCCCUGUCUGCAGUGGUUAAAUGCCAUAGAGAAUUAAAAUCAAGAACCUUCAUGCAAAAAGGUCUUUGCACCUGUCCUGUUAGAGGAGAUCACUCCUCUGUGCAAUAACAGUCCAUCAUGUUCCAAGCCAACAGUUUCCAAACCAUCUAGUGGUGUUAGAAAUAGUGUACUGACAUAGUUACACAUCUUUUGCACUGAUAAACCAAUUCAGUCAUUAAUAUGGCCCAUGUUGCUGUUUUGAUGUGAUGAAAUGUAGAAAAAGAAAAAAAUAAGCAAAAUGUAUCAAGGUUAUUUCAAGUAAAGGUUCAAUAAUGGCAGAAUGUUUCAACUUUAAAGAAAAUAAUUUGAUUGCUUUUAGGCUUGGUAUUGGUGACUUUAAGAUCAUUUAGAACAAUGCUUUUAUUGUUGUGACAGUUUUUGUUUUAAAGAAGUAGGCCAAAUGGUAAGAGAUUUGUUCCAGAGGAUUAAUGCAGCAGGCUGUUCUUGUUUUUUUUUAUUUAAACCAGUACUUUUAGCCAAAAAUAACUUUGCCCAUUCAACUAUCCCUGAUUAUGUAUGAUUUCAUGUUAUGCUAUUUCUUUUUGCAUUUCUUGUUGUUGUGAAGUUGCCAUAUAAGAAUUUGUCAUAAUAAGGCAUUAAGUUUACAUGAGCACAUGUUGUAAACAAGUCUUUGUUUUUAUUUGUUUGUUGUUCAAAGGAUGUAUGAAAUAUUAAAUAACCAAUAUUUCCAUAUUGCUUUAAGUUGACAAUAUGUACUAAAUUUUACAUAAUGUUAGAAGUAAAAUAUUAAUAAGAACUAAGAAAUAAAAUUAAUAAUAAGAUGUGUACAGAUGUUUAAAAAAUCAAACCUUAUCAUUUUGUAGGGCUUCUAAAACAAUUUAAUUUCUCUUGCCACUCUUUUAUCAGUCUGUAAAUGCUAUUGGGUUAAAAAAAUAUAUACUUACCGUUGGAAACUUUAAAGAGAUGAUGAAGUAUAAACUAAGCUACUGGUUUACAUUUAUUUUAAUAGUAUUGAUUUUAUCAAGUUUGGCAAAGUCAUAUUAUUAUUCAAAUAUAUGUCAGAAUAAUAGCCAACCUUUUUGAGGGUUAUGAAAAUGGGGGUGCAAAUCACACAUUGUCAGAUGAGUUAGUUAUAGCUUAUUGAUGAUGCGUUGGUAUCAUUUUUGUCCACACAAUCACCGUAAGUUCAUAGAUAUUAUGAUAGUUGUCAACUUAUUAUUUUAAGUUAAAUAAACUUCAAUCUCAUUGGAGUGAAAGUUUGCCUUUUACCAAAAUAAUACCCUGUUCCAAACUUGAAGAUGCAAUUUUAAAUGAUCAGCUUAAUUUUAGUACAUGUUUCACAUGUUUGAAGUCUCAUUCAUUCCUGUAUUUACUAGUAUAUUAUUGCUGUUUUUGAAAUACAAUUGUUAUUUUAGGGACAUGAAUUUAUUUGCAUUUUGCCCUUUAUAUUAUAAGUAAUUUAUGACUAAAAAAUGAAUUUUCAUUGAAAAAAACAACAUUGUUUUGUACAAAUUAUAAUGAACACCAUUGCCAUGGCAAUCAUUAUGUCUCCCCCUAUCUGGGGGAGACAUAUUGUUUUUGCCCUGUCCGUCAGUCCGGUAGUCCGAUAGUCCGGUAGUCCGGUAGUCCGUCAGUCCGUCAGUCCGUCCGUACGUCACACUUCGUUUCCGAUCGAUAACUGGAAAACCGCAUGACCUAGGAUCACCAAACUUGGUAGGGAGGUUGGUCAUGAGGUGUAGAAGAUCCCUAUUGUUUUUGGGGUCACUAGGUCAAAGGUCAAGGUCGCGGCGACCCCCAAUGUAAAAAACAUUUCCGCUCAAUAUCUUGAGAAUGGUUUGACCUAGGUUCACCAAACUUGGUAGGGAGGUUGGUCGUGAGGUGUAGAGGAUCCCUAUUGUUUUUUGGGGUCACUAGGUCAAAGGUCAAGGUCGCGGCGACCCCCAAUGUAAAAAACAUUUCCGCUCAAUAUCUUGAGAAUGGUUUGACCUAGGUUCACCAAACUUGGUAGGGAGGUUGGUCGUGAGGUGUAGAGGAUCCCUAUUGUUUUUGGGGUCACUAGGUCAAAGGUCAAGGUCGCGGCGACCCCCAAUGUAAAAAACAUUUCCGCUCAAUAUCUUGAGAAUGGUUUGACCUAGGUUCACCAAACUUGGUAGGGAGGUUGGUCGUGAGGUGUAGAGGAUCCCUUUUGUUUUUGGGGUCACUAGGUCAAAGGUCAAGGUCGCGGCGACCCCCAAUAUAAAAAACAUUUCUGCUCAAAAUCUUGAGAACGGUUUGACCUAGGUUCACCAAACUUGGUAGGGAGGUUGGUCAUGAGGUGUAGAAGAUCCCUAUUGUUUUUGGGGUCACUAGGUCAAAGGUCAAGGUCGCGGCGACCCCCAAUGUAAAAAACAUUUCCGCUCAAUAUCUUGAGAAUGGUUUGACCUAGGUUCACCAAACUUGGUAGGGAGGUUGGUCGUGAGGUGUAGAGGAUCCCUAUUGUUUUUGGGGUCACUAGGUCAAAGGUCAAGGUCGCGGCGACCCCCAAUGUAAAAAACAUUUCCGCUCAAUAUCUUGAGAAUGGUUUGACCUAGGUUCACCAAACUUGGUAGGGAGGUUGGUCGUGAGGUGUAUAGGAUCCCUAUUGUUUUUGGGGUCACUAGGUCAAAGGUCAAGGUCGCGGCGACCCCCAAUAUAAAAAACAUUUCUGCUCAAAAUCUUGAGAACGGUUUGACCUAGGUUCACCAAACUUGGUAGGGAGGUUGGUCAUGAGGUGUAGAAGAUCCCUAUUGUUUUUGGGGUCACUAGGUCAAAGGUCAAGGUCGCGGCGACCCCCAAUGUAAAAAACAUUUCCGCUCAAUAUCUUGAGAAUGGUUUGACCUAGGUUCACCAAACUUGGUAGGGAGGUUGAUCAUGAGGUUUAGAAAACUCCUAUGUUUUGGGGGGUCACAAGGUCAAAGGUCAACGUCGCUGUGACCUCUAAUGUAAAAAAAUAUUUCCGUGCAAUAUCAGGAGAAUGCUUUGAUCUAGGUUCACCAAACUUUGAAGUGAGGUUGGUCAUGAUGUCUAGUUGAUUUUGCAAUCAGUUGGUCAAAGGUCAAGGUCACUGACCUUGAGGUGAAGAACCGGUUUCUGCUCAAUAACUCAAGAACGUUUACACCCAGGAACUUCAUACUUGGUAUGCCAGUUAGUCAUGACUAGUUGAUGGCCCCUAUUGAUUUUGGGAUCCAUCAUUGAUUAUUUCUCACCUACGACCACACAAUGGGGGAGACAUGCGCUUUUUCGAAAAAGCAAUCUCUAGUUUUAUAUGUUGUCACAAGAGGGUAACACUUGUAACUUAUCAUUUUUUGUUUAAUAUACUUACAUAUUGUUGGAGUGAAAGAUUACCUUUCACCAAAAUGAUGCCUUGUUUCAAACUUAAAUAUAAAAGGUUAAAUGAUCUAUUUUAUCCUUAGUUUGUGUUUACAAUGUUCGAAGUCUCCCUCAUUAUUUUAUUAACUAGUAUAAUAAUGAGAUGCUUGAUACACUGUUGUUACCUAAGGAAGAUGAACUUAUAAUAAAUAAUUAAUGACAAAAAAUGAUUUUUUGAAGAAAUAAAACACAUUGUAUUUUUUUUAGGAAAACCAUUGCCAUAGCAACCAUAUUUAUAUUGUCACCAGAGGGUAGCAAUUGUAAUGCUUUUUAUAUUAAGGUUAAAAUAGUGUGUCUUUAAAUGUAGCACUAAUUGAUCUACUUGUAAAAUUGUUUAUAUAUUUACUGUAUAUAUAUGUUGAUAAUCAUUAAGAAGUAAACAUUAUCAAGAAACACA
Mya arenaria is the source of this 4399-nucleotide long non-coding RNA. RefSeq lists it as uncharacterized. Lineage: Eukaryota; Metazoa; Mollusca; Bivalvia; Myida; Myidae. The transcript is spliced from 4 exons. The record is from RefSeq and is a predicted model, not a curated record.